CAAUAGCGUAUAUUAAAGUUGUUGCAGUUAAAAAGCUCGUAGUUGGAUUUCUGGUUGGAGCGACCGGUCGGGCAUUGAUUUGUCUGCACUGGAGUCGGUUCUGGCCAUCCUCUUGGAAAGUGCGUCUGUCAUUAAGUUGUCGGGCGUAUGAUCCAGGUCUUUUACUGUGAAAAAAUUAGAGUGUUUAAAGCAGGCCUUCGCCUUGAAUACAUUAGCAUGGAAUAAUGAGAUAGGACUUUGGUCUAUUUUGUUGGUUUGCAGACCGAAGUAAUGAUUAAUAGGGAUAGUUGGGGGUAUUUAUAUUCCAAUGUCAGAGGUGAAAUUCUUAGAUUUUUGGAAGAUAAACUUAUGCGAAAGCAUUUACCAAGGAUGUUUUCAUUAA
This 382-nucleotide ribosomal RNA is filed under the name uncultured eukaryote. RNAcentral's name for it is "partial 18S ribosomal RNA". It matches the Rfam family "Eukaryotic small subunit ribosomal RNA", at positions 592 to 976 of the family's 1831-position model. The record is from RNAcentral.